GAUGAACGCUGGCGGCGUGCCUAAUACAUGCAAGUCGAGCGAACGGACGAGAAGCUUGCUUUUCUGAUGUUAGCGGCGGACGGGUGAGUAACACGUGGAUAACCUACCUAUAAGACUGGGAUAACUUCGGGAAACCGGAGCUAAUACCGGAUAAUAUUUUGAACCGCAUGGUUCAAAAGUGAAAGACGGUCUUGCUGUCACUUAUAGAUGGAUCCGCGCUGCAUUAGCUAGUUGGUAAGGUAACGGCUUACCAAGGCAACGAUGCAUAGCCGACCUGAGAGGGUGAUCGGCCACACUGGAACUGAGACACGGUCCAGACUCCUACGGGAGGCAGCAAUAGGGAAUCUUCCGCAAUGGGCGAAAGCCUGACGGAGCAACGCCGCGUGAGUGAUGAAGGUCUUCGGAUCGUAAAACUCUGUUAUUAGGGAAGAACAUAUGUGUAAGUAACUGUGCACAUCUUGACGGUACCUAAUCAGAAAGCCACGGCUAACUACGUG
Molecule: ribosomal RNA, 497 nt
Filed under: uncultured bacterium
Lineage: Bacteria
Description: partial 16S ribosomal RNA
Rfam family: Bacterial small subunit ribosomal RNA
Source: RNAcentral